UUUAGUUCCUUCGUGUCCUUUGCAUCUGGCAUUACUGUUCGUAUGAACGAACUUAAAGCACUGGUUUUGGUUUUAGAAGGUUAAGGCAAAAUUCUUCUCUUCUCUCUUCAUUCUUUGUUCUAUUUUUCUUUUUGCCCAAAACCGAAAAAAAAAACCUACGAGAGAGGGGAAGAGAAGCCUUCAAUGUCAAAUCCAUAGGCCAUGAGAAGUAGACAAGGUAAAAAAUUUCUGAAACUCAUUCUUCCUUUCUUUUUUCUCGUUUUCUCUCUUCUCCCUUCUCUUUCUUCUUCAUUUCGAAAACCCUAAGAGAAAGAGGGAUUCUUGGUGCGGCUAGGGGAAGAAGAAAAUCUGAACCUCAGAGGAAGUAACGGAAGGGAGAAUUUAAAAGGGGAGACGGGGUUUCAAGGUGAGUAAUGCAAGCUAUAGAAGGAGCUCUAAUUGUGGCCUCUAGUAUGGGAUCUUUUCUCAAGAUUUUUCAGUCCUCUUGGCAUGACACCUGUUGUUGGAUUGGUUGGAUUAGGGUUCAUUCAACGAGGAUUUCCUGCGUUGGGGAACUGUGUAGAAAUUGACAUACCAAUGCUAUUGUUGAUUGUUGGGUUGUCACAAGUUCAUGUCACCAUAUCCUAUCCAAUGGGGUCCACCCACUUUUUCUGCUGUUCAUUCAUUUGCAAUGAUGUAUGCAGUUUUGUAUCAAUGGAGGCUUAAGUUGUUGUAAAGUGUUUUACCCCCAAUCAUGGUUAGAAGAGACAAAGUAAUAAUUUCAGAGGAGAUUUAUAAUCAUAACAAGAAUCCCUACUUCAUUUGGUUGAAUUUCCAACAAUGGCUUGACGAUACAAUUUUCAUGCAGUCAACUGGUGCAUACAAGGCAGCAUCUCGUUUGGCAAUUGCUACUCCACCUCCUGCUUAUGUGUUGAGUUGAGGCAUUGGUUGGCAGUAUUUUUCUAGCUGCAAAUGUCAACAAUAUCAUGAAAGUCAAAUAAUUGAAGUUAGGGAAAAUUGGUGUUUACAUGUAAUUAGUACAUAUAUAUAUAUAUAUAUAUAUAUAUAUAUAUAGGUUAUGUUAUGGUGAUGUAAUGCUUAUAAGUAGUGAUAUGAUACAUAUGUUAUAUGAUUGUAUAGAUUAUCUUAUAAAGCAAUGUAUUGUCACGACACGUACUAGACGAUUUAAUGAUUA
This is an RNA transcript of Vigna radiata var. radiata (mung bean), 1174 nucleotides long. It is a transcript of the gene named nucleobase-ascorbate transporter 1-like, with no coding region annotated. The transcript has 6 exons. The record is from RefSeq and is a predicted model, not a curated record. Lineage: Eukaryota; Viridiplantae; Streptophyta; Magnoliopsida; Fabales; Fabaceae.